AGUCCAACAUACAUACCCCCCCCCCCCUGUCAGCCUUUCACUUCAUGGUCAUGGGACUCUGGCCAUAUAAUGGCUGCCCCCUCCCCCUUCCUGUUCUCAUGCUACAAUGUUGGGACCACAGCCAAAGGCAGGAUGAGGAGGAAGAGGAGCAGCAGCAGCAAAAGGAAGGGAGGUUGUUUUACAUGGAUAGGGCUGUGACAUGGUCCCAUGGUACCUCAUUUACCUCUAAUUUGCUCUCAAGAUGUAGCCAAUGGUCCACUCACUCUCCAGAGAAAUGAAAGUACCAAAUUCUGUAUAGAUGGUUUGAAAGUGAUAUAGACAAUGGCAGAUUUGGAUGGGAGCUGAGUAGCAGUUGCAGGGGAGGAGGAGAGGUUGAAUUGCAUCAGCAGGGAUGGUCAUCUGGCAAUAUUUCAGCCAGAGGGAGAGAGUGGGAGAGACAAGUGGUAGUGUAGUGUAGUGUAGUGUAGUGUAGUGCACUAUCUAACUCCCUUUCUGGGGGUCAUGAAACAUGGGUGCACUGCCCCACCUGCAAGACAAUGCUGCCCUUGUAUGGACCCCCACUCUGAUGAUGAGACAUGUGAUGAGACUGGCAACUGAAUUGGAGAUCUUCCCAGUAUGAUAUCAUCAAUUAUUUAUUGUUCCAA
Molecule: RNA transcript, 644 nt
Organism: Physcomitrium patens
Lineage: Eukaryota; Viridiplantae; Streptophyta; Bryopsida; Funariales; Funariaceae
Source: RefSeq, a predicted model, not a curated record